RNAcentral lists this long non-coding RNA (794 nucleotides) under Equus asinus (donkey). RNAcentral describes it as "lncRNA (ENSEASG00005027476.1)". The record is from RNAcentral. Lineage: Eukaryota; Metazoa; Chordata; Mammalia; Perissodactyla; Equidae.
UUUGAAUCCCAUAUACUGCAUUUACAAAACUUUUCUAAUGAAACAUCGUCUUUUCACAUGAUGUUAUCAUUGUUUGGUAACGAGUCUUCUUGCCCUGCUACACUCAGUGCUCAGUAGGUGUUAUUAUUAUUUUCAUAGUACUCUUCUUAGCCUCCUGCUUAAUCUGUUACAGGUACAUAAGAAUAUUUGUUGAGUGAAUUACUUAAAAAUGCAAAUCUGGUUAUGUCUGUCCUCUGCUUACAAUGUUCCAUUUACUUUAGGAUAAAAAUGAAAAUCCUCGACACAGCCAGAAGGUCCCGAGUGAUGCUUCUUCCAGUUCCCUGGGAGGCAGCCUGGUGUCAAAGAGGGAACAUGAACUCUGGAGUCAUACAGACCUGGCCUGAAACUGAACUCAGCCUCUUCCACCUGUGCAGCCCAGUGCACUUGAUAUGACCUCACCGUGACUCACUUUUCUCCUCUUUAAAAUGGUCGAUGUGAACCAUAACUCACGGGGCUGUGAAGAUUCUGUUUGAAAAAUAAUAAAGCUCCUUGUGUCUGGCGUGGAGACAGGGACAGAUAGAUGGUAGAUACUAAAACAGCACUUCUGUGAAGGGAAGCCCCAAAUACUGUUGUCAGCCUCCCCUCCCAUGAUUUACUCUUAGCUGAUAAAUUCCACUGUUGACAGUUGAGCUGAGGCGUGCUGUCUCUGGGGGAGCUGAUUAAAAAGAAAUACCUUAAAGGGAAAACACAUUAAACUAUGAUCAAUCUAAAUUAUUGUCUUAAUUAAUAAUUAAGCCAUUUAUUGUGCAAGCGGG